Molecule: long non-coding RNA, 1465 nt
Filed under: Polistes fuscatus (common paper wasp)
Lineage: Eukaryota; Metazoa; Arthropoda; Insecta; Hymenoptera; Vespidae
Description: uncharacterized LOC122515638
Source: RNAcentral
GUUCGCAGCAACUUUCGCUAUGCUAUUGCAUAGAAACUACCCAAUGAUAUCUCACGAAAUUUAGCACUGUUUAGAAACGAACUUUGAAGCAAAGGAUGAGAAAUUGCGAAUGCAACAAUAACGACAACUACACAGUGGACAGAGGAGGAAAGCAAUCGUUCGGUCUAACGAUGCAUGACGUUCAUCCGGUGGAAGGGUCGAGUUACUCGAGACUGGAAGUUAGAAUCAUAGAGACUCGAUGAUCGAUGAUGAGAACAGAGAAGAGAUAGAUACAAAGAAUUGAAAAUAAAAUAACACGUAUUCGAGAAAAUUUCCCGAUAUCCAAAAUUAGAUCUACGAGAACAAGUACAGGGCCGCCGCUUUGGUGAAUUUAGCCUUACGAAUGUGCUUUAAAAAUAGCCACACUACCUCGCCAAUCAAGUAAUUACCUAUGUCGACUGGGCUUGUUUCUCUUAUAUUCGAUACAUCCUCGCGUUCCUCAUUGGCUGAAUUUAUCGACCAAUAAAAAAAUCACUUUAGAAAUGGCGCCAUUUUUAAACUAAUUUCAAACUUCUUAUGUUUCAUAAAAUUGGUUAUUUCCAUAUAAUCUUGUUAAUUGUGUUUAGAUUGUUGUUGAUGUGCAGUAGUUCGCGAUUUUUUUUGUUUGUAGACAUAUUUUUUAACAAACACGGUUGAAAUAAUUGUGCCAUGGCGUGUGUUGUAUAGCGAAGGUAAGUAAAAUCAGUCGAUAAAAUCGAUACUCUUUGUUGCAAAAGGUGAAUUGUGAAACCGGGCUUCUCUCUCUCUUUUGUCAUGACCCGAUUCUAGAAAGUACAAGCAACAAAAGCGAGGUCUCGAACUUUAAAAAAAAUAUCAUUGCCAACCGCUUGUUUUUAUCGAACAACACUACUAACUCUUUCGAUACUAGUUUUUAUCAUCUAUGUAAACUAAAAAUAAGAAAAGAAAUAGACAAGAUUUUCAUAAAUAACGAAGAAAUGAGAUAACAUUAAGAGUAACUGCACAAUGACGAAUAAUUUCAGUGAAGUAACGGUAAUCUUGGAAGUUGGCCUUUAAAGUACCGUAACAAUUCUACGUUUCCUCGUCCUAAGAGGCACGUCUCUAUUGCCAACCUUGUAACAAUACACUUAGAAAAUAAAUUUUAAGAUAAGGUCAACAAGUAGAUUAUGAAAUUUAAGAGAAAUAAUUAAAAUGUUUUAAGGAUACUAUCAACGGUAAUAGUAAAGGCUUGGAAGGAAAAUUUCCCAAUGAACAAUUAGGAUUAACCCACCAUUGUCUCAUCUAUCUAUCUAUAUCUAUCUCUACUUUGUCUCUUGACGAAAUAUUUAUAACGAUACUAAUUAAUUUCAAUGAAAAGACUUAUUAAAAUAGAUAUGAAAAUGUUGAAUUAUCAAUUCACUUGAAAUACUGAGUCAUUCUUACUAGUCAUAGCACACGAUUAUUUGAAAUAAAUUACAAAUAUUCACAA